GCCUCGUUAGCGUAGUGGUUAUCGCAUCUGUCUUGUAUGACUUCGCGUCGUUGCAAACAGAAGGUCAGUCGUUCGAAUCGGCUACGAGGCA
Molecule: non-coding RNA, 91 nt
Organism: Paraphysoderma sedebokerense
Lineage: Eukaryota; Fungi; Blastocladiomycota; Physodermatomycetes; Physodermatales; Physodermataceae
Source: the annotation of a GenBank genome assembly